UUAAUGUUGUUCCAAGGGUUCCAUACUCUGUUCCAGGUCCUCUCUCCUUGUGGCACAUAUAUGUUAACCAUAAACUGAUACACUGGAGAAUAGUUAUACAUGGAGGGAUUGAUGGGUUCAGUCUGCGCAUUAUGUUUCUUUGUGUAAACACAAACAAUCGGGCAUCAACUGUUCUCCAGUGUUUUCUCACUGCUGUUAAUCAGUAUGGUUUACCCCACCGUGUUAGAAGUGACAAGGGAAGAGAAAAUGUUGAGAUUGCCAGAGACAUGCUGGAACAUCCUGAAAGGGGCCCAUAGAGAAGAUGCCACAUCACUGGAAAGAGUGUCCACAACCAGAGAAUUGAGAGGCUGUGGCGUGACGUCUGAUGUAGUGUAGUUAGCAACUAUUACACUACCUUUAGGUAACUCGAAAACAAUGGGCUGCUCGAACCUGAUCAAGAUCUCCACAUCAUAUGCCUCCAUUUUGUCUUCCUGUCAAGACUGAAUUGGCAUCUAAAGGAGUUCAUCCAGAUGUGGGACAGGCAUCCACUUUCCACAGAGGGAAACCGGUCCCCAGACCAGUUGUGGAUUGCUGGUCUGCUUUUGGAGCAACAAGA
Molecule: long non-coding RNA, 595 nt
Organism: Carassius carassius (crucian carp)
Lineage: Eukaryota; Metazoa; Chordata; Actinopteri; Cypriniformes; Cyprinidae
Exons: 3
Source: RefSeq, a predicted model, not a curated record